RNAcentral lists this ribosomal RNA (465 nucleotides) under uncultured bacterium. RNAcentral's name for it is "partial 16S ribosomal RNA". It matches the Rfam family "Bacterial small subunit ribosomal RNA", at positions 28 to 507 of the family's 1533-position model. The record is from RNAcentral.
GACGAACGCUGGCGGCGUGCUUAACACAUGCAAGUCGAACGCUGAACCCGCUUCGGUGGGGGAUGAGUGGCGAACGGGUGAGUAACACGUGGGCAACCUGCCCCCGGCUCUGGGAUAACUCCAAGAAAUUGGGGCUAAUACCGGAUGUGACCGCUGGCCGCAUGGUCUGGUGGUGGAAAGGGUUUCCGGCUGGGGAUGGGCCCGCGGCCUAUCAGCUUGUUGGUGGGGUAGUGGCCUACCAAGGCGACGACGGGUAGCCGGCCUGAGAGGGUGACCGGCCACACUGGGACUGAGACACGGCACAGACUCCUACGGGAGGCAGCAGUGGGGAAUAUUGCGCAAUGGGCGGAAGCCUGACGCAGCGACGCCGCGUGGGGGAUGACGGCCUUCGGGUUGUAAACCUCUUUCAGCAGGGACGAAGCGCAAGUGACGGUACCUGCAGAAGAAGCACCGGCCAACUACGUG